AUUGAACGCUGGCGGCAGGCCUAACACAUGCAAGUCGAACGAGUGGCGGACGGGUGAGUAAUGUCUGGGAAACUGCCUGAUGGAGGGGGAUAACUACUGGAAACGGUAGCUAAUACCGCAUACCAUCGGAUGUGCCCAGAUGGGAUUAGCUCGUAGGUGGGGUAAAGGCUCACCUAGGCGACGAUCCCUAGCUGGUCUGAGAGGAUGACCAGCCACACGGGAACGGAGAAACGGUCCAGACUCCUACGGGAGGCAGCAGUGGGGAAUAUUGCACAAUGGGCGAAAGCCUGAUGCAGCCAUGCCGCGUGUAUGAAGAAGGUCUUCGGGUUGUAAAGUACUUUCAGUGGGGAGGCGUUACCCGCAGAAGAAGCACCGGCUAACUCCGUGCCAGCAGCCGCGGUAAUAC
RNAcentral lists this ribosomal RNA (406 nucleotides) under uncultured bacterium. Its description in RNAcentral is "partial 16S ribosomal RNA". It matches the Rfam family "Bacterial small subunit ribosomal RNA", at positions 30 to 526 of the family's 1533-position model. The record is from RNAcentral.